This 5917-nucleotide long non-coding RNA is filed under the name Fragaria vesca (wild strawberry). Its description in RNAcentral is "long non-coding RNA (FVES_LNC002908)". The record is from RNAcentral. Lineage: Eukaryota; Viridiplantae; Streptophyta; Magnoliopsida; Rosales; Rosaceae.
GUGUGCAAGUGGCAUUAUUGUAAUUUCUAUUUUCCUUGUAUUUUAUUUUAUUUAGCUUGGCCCUCCUUGGCUUUUUGAUGUUUCCCACAGCCAAGUGAGAAUUUGGCCGAUAUGCUCUUUGUAGGGGAGUUCCUAGUCGGCGACGGUUGGACUAAGGAACUAGUAUAGGUAAGCACAUGUACUUUAGCCCCUACUAACGUCUUACCAUCAAUAAAGAGAGGAAUUAUUCAAUCAUCUGUGUCCCGUGAGAUCAUUCCAACUUUUCAUUCGAGUGCCCGCUCGCUCUUUGAGCUCGCUCCAUAAUUAUAUAAAACUGUGUUCUUGCUUGUUGCUAGCAUCAUAUUAAUAUCGUGUGGUUUCCAUUGUUCCUUGCAAGGUGCGCACAAGGCUGACUUGCUACCUUUCAAAGGCUAGCGAGUGUCGCACGGUCCUCUUUGCACCCUCGCAAAGUCGGCCCGUGACGGGUGGUAUCAGAGCCAUCUUGGCUCGAAGGCUCACAACAUGCCGGGAGGAAUGACAAAGCAACAAAAAUUUGAUUGGUAUGACCAAAUGCUUGGUGAACUUGCGGGAGUCCCUGAUAGAUUGAUUGACAUCACCUCCACGCUAGACCGUGUCGACCUGGAUGAACUGGCGACACGAGUCAAUGACCUUGGGGAAUUGAGAGGGCGAGUUGCAGCCUUAGACCGCGUCGACCUGGAUGAGUUGGCGGCGCGAGCCAAUGACCUUGAAAGACUGAAAGGGCGAGUUACGGCCCUUGAAAAGAUGAAAGCUCCAAGACUCGAUGUAGAGACCGAGAGAGAUGGAGGUUCUGUUUCACAAGAGCAGAUGGGGGCGAUGGGUGAUGCCCUCGAAACUCUACAAGUGACUAUGGACACCAUGGCUGAGGAUGUCCGAGCCACUAUUGAUGCAUUCAAGAACGAGCUGUUGGAGAUGAUUACCAAGCUCAAUCUAGCUAUCCGGGCGAUGAGUAACCAACAUGUGACGGACUACAGGAGGGUAAAGAUCCCGGAGCCUCAAGCUUACGGAGGGGCGCGAGACGCCAAGGAGCUUGAGAAUUUUCUAUUUGAUAUGGAGCAAUACUUCCGAGCAGUGAAGCCGGAUUCAGAAGAAGCAAAAGUGGGCAUGGCGACAAUGUAUUUGUCGGGCGAUGCGAAACUGUGGUGGAGAACAAAAUACAACGACAUUCAGAGGAAUGUCUGUACCAUUGCCACAUGGGAGAACCUGAAGAAAGAGCUGAAGAUGCAGUUCUUCCCAGAGAAUGUGGACUACAUUGCAAGACGACAGUUGAGAGAGUUGAAGCACACCAACAACAUUAGAGAGUUUGUGAGCAAAUUCUCUGUGAUCAUGCUCGAUCUCCCAGAUAUGUCGGAGAAGGACCGACUAUUCUAUUUCCUCGAGGGGUUAAAGCCGUGGGCUAGAACUGAACUUCAGAGACAAAGGGUUCAAGAUUUGGCUUCUGCUCAAGCAGCAGCUGAAAGGUUGACAGACUACACUUUUGAAGAAAACCCUCCCAAAAGGACCUCAUCCUUUUCGAAUGUGAAUGCCAACAAAAGUGUGAGACCAGGACAGAGUAGAAGUGGGGGAGCGGAGUCAAACUUCUCCAGUUUCGGAGGGGGAAGGAUGACCAAUGUAAGGGAUACAGCCUCUUCCAAACCGGCUACAUCAACAGGAGUAUUUCCCCCACGGCAAUUCAACUCCGCCAGCUUCACACCAAGACCUAUAUCUUGCUUCUUAUGCAAAGGGCCUCAUAGGGUAAAUGAGUGUCCACACAAGACGGCCUUGACAGCCCUACAAGCCCACAUUUCGGCGAAGGAGUCUGAGGAACCCCAAGAGGAAGUGGAGGAACCUAGUCAGAUGGGUGCUUUGAGAUUCUUAAACGCAGUGGAAAAGCAACCACCCGUGUCCCAAGAAUCUCAGCCUAAGGGCCUAAUGUUUGUGGAUGGGAGCAUAAACGGGAAGUUGCCAAGAGUGUGAUGGUCAACACUGGCGCCACCCAUAAUUUUGUGUCUGAAACAGAAGCACGGAAGUUGGGAUUGAAGAUAGAGAAGGAUACUGGCGGCAUGAAAGCAGUCAACUCCUCACCCUUGGCCACAGUGGGGGUAUCUCGAAGAGCACAGGUGAAGCUGGGUAGUUGGGAAGGGAAGACAGACUUGGUUGUUGUAGAGAUGGACGACUUCGACGUCAUAUUAGGGAUGGACUUUUUGCUGGAACACAAAGCCAUCCCCAUUCCCAAUGCCCGAAAUUUGUUGAUCAUGAGGGAGAGACCAUGUGUAGUGUUUGCGAAGAUAGUCCCGCCAAGUGAACCCCGUCUCUUGUCUGCUCUCCAGUUCAAGUCUGCUCUCCAGUUCAAGAAAGGGGUGAAGCGACAUGAGCCUUCAUACGUCGUUGUCCCCUUGGUAAAAGACAGGGCUGAACCAGAAGUGGUGCCAAAAGAAGUUCAGGGGGUGCUGGAGAGUUACAAGGAUGUGAUGCCGGCAGACCUCCCCAAGGAGCUGCCACCGAGGAGAAACAUAGAUCAUGAGAUUGAGUUACUACCUGGUGCAAAACCACCAGCAAGGGCCCCUUACAGAAUGGCUCCGCCAGAGCUAGCAGAAUUGAGGAAGCAAUUGGGAGAUCUGUUAGAAGCAGGGUUCAUUCAGCCCUCAAAGGCUCCAUUUGGUGUGCCGGUGCUAUUCCAAAAGAAGCAUGAUGGGAGCUUGAGGUUGUGUGUAGACUACCGAGCUCUUAACAAAGUCACCGUGCGGAACAAGUACCCCAUUCCCUUGAUUGCAGAUUUGUUUGACCAGCUUAGUGGUGCCAAAUAUUUUACCAAGCUGGACCUCCGCUCGGGAUACUACCAAGUCCGCAUAGCAGAAGGAGAUGAGCCCAAGACUGCAUGUGUCACCCGAUAUGGUGCUUUUGAGUUCUUGGUGAUGCCGUUCGGGUUGACCAAUGCACCUGCCACUUUCUGCACGUUGAUGAACCAAGUCUUCCAUGGUUACCUUGACAAAUUUGUGGUGGUGUAUUUGGAUGACAUUGUGAUCUACAGUUCUACUCUGGAGGAACAUGUGGAACACCUAAGGCUAGUGUUUCAACAGUUACGAGCCCAUCAGCUGUAUGUCAAGCGUGAAAAGUGCUCCUUCGCGCAAGAUACUAUUAAGUUCUUGGGCCAUGUUAUAGAGAGGGGGGAGAUUAGGGAUGGACAUGGAGAAAGUACAAGCGAUCGAGGAGUGGCAGAGUCCCACGAAUGUGAAGGAGCUGCGUUCUUUUCUUGGACUGGCUAAUUACUAUAGGCGGUUCAUUAAGAAUUACUCAGGAAGGACAACUCCCUUGACUGACCUCUUGAAGAAGGGAGCGGUGUGGGACUGGAACGAAGACUGUGAGCAAGCCUUCAUGAACUUGAAGAAGGCUGUGAUGGAAGAUCCUGUUUUUGCCUUGCCAGACCUGAGCAAACCAUUUGAAGUGCAGACCGAUGCAUCUGACUUCGCCCUAGGGGGAGUCCUAUUACAAGAAGGGCAUCCAGUGGCGUAUGAGAGUCAUAAGCUCUCACCAGUGGAAAGGAGAUAUACAGCCCAUGAGAGAGAAAUGUUGGCUGUGAUCCACUGUUUGAGGACUUGGAGGCACUAUUUGCUAGGGGCAAAUUUUACUGUGAAGACAGACAACUCUGCAGUUAGUCAUUUCCUGACACAACCGAAGUUGACCUCAAAGCAAGCUCGGUGGCAAGAGUUUCUCGCCGAGUUCGACUUCCAAUUUGAGCACAAAGCAGGGUACACCAAUCAAGUUGCGGACGCCCUAAGCCGCAAGGCCAACCUUGCGGCCCUUCGAAACCUGGCGACUUUGUCAGGCAGUGGAGUUGCCACUGACAUUAAGGAAAGAGUAAAGGCUGGUUUGGAGAAAGAUCCCGUGGUUCAAGGCCUCGUGAAGCUAGUGCGAGAAGGGAAGAGCCGCAGAUUCUGGUUGGAGGACGGCUUGUUAAAGACAAAAGGAGGAAGAACAUAUCUUCCCCGGGUGGAUGGAUUGCGAAGAAUGUUGAUGAGAGAGUGCCAUGACACCUUGUGGGCAGGGCAUCCCGGGUGGCACAGAACCUAUGUCCUCCUGAAACAGAGUUACUACUGGCCGCAGAUGCGAGACGAUGUGAUGGAAUACACCAGGACGUGUCUCAUCUGCCAACAAGACAAGGUAGAGCGACAGAAGACAGCGGGGUUGCUGGAGCCGCUGGCAACACCCACUCGUCCGUGGGAGAGUGUCUCCCUCGAUUUCAUUACCAAUCUCCCGAAGGUUGGGGAAAUAUCUGGAAUCCUGGUCGUGGUGGACAGGUUCUCGAAGUAUGCAACAUUUGUUCCAACAUCGAAGCAUUGCUCGACAGAAGACACAGCGAGUCUCUUCUUCAAACAUGUGGUGAAGUAUUGGGGAGUACCACAGAAUAUCGUUAGUGAUCGAGACCCUAGGUUCACAGGGUCGUUUUGGACAGAGUUGUUCAAGCUACUGGGGUCUGAACUCAACAUCUCCUCAAGUUAUCACCCUUAGACGGAUGGGCAGACUGAGAGAUUCAAUGCAAUGUUGGAAGAAUACUUAAGGAACUUUGUUCAUGCAAAUAUGAAGAAUUGGGUGGAGUUACUGGAUGUGGCCCAGUUCUGUUUCAAUUCGAAGAAGAGUUCAGUCACCAACAAGAGCGCGUUUGAAGUGGUGACUGGCCAGCAACCACUCUUGCCUCAUACUGUGCAGGAGGUAUACAAGGGGAAAAACCCGCGGGCUUUCAACUUCACCAAAGAGUGGAAAGCCAACGCGGACAUUGCUCGAAGUUACUUGGAGAAAGCGGCGAAGAGAAUGAAGAAGUGGGCAGAUCAGAGUCGCAAACCCCGAGAGUUCCGAGAAGGAGACAUGGUGCUCGUGAAGCUGCUCCCUGAACAGAUCAGGAAUAUGCGCUCCACAGACAAGCGGUUGUUCAGGAGGUAUGAAGGCCCACUUCCAGUCCUUUCGAAAGUGGGGAAGUGCUCUUACAAAGUCGACAUCCCUGCCUGGAUGAAAGUUCACCCUGUCUUCCAUGUCAGCAACCUCAAACCUUACCAGUCUGAUGCAGAAGAUCAAGCCCACAACCAGCCUACUCGACAGCAUGUGGAGCUCAAGACACACAAACCAAAGGAGGUAGAGGAGAUUCUGGCCGAGAGAGUAGUUGACAAGUUAGAGCAGGGGCGGGGAGACCGCCUAGUUACAGUGCGCCAACAGCAGUACUUAGUGAAGUGGAAGAAGAUGGGCGAGGAAGAGAUCUGUUGGGAGAAUGCCGAAGCCCUGAAGAAGUUCAAGCAGAAGAUUGAAGAUUUCAAACUAAGUUCAACCCCAAGGCAGUCGUCGAGAGCGCCGACAGCUUAAGUGGGGGAGGAUGUUAGGGCCAAGACAUGUAAUGCCACAAGCAACCUUGCCCAGGGGCAUGAGUCAAGCCCAUGGUUGGUUGCUUGUGUGCAAGUGGCAUUAUUGUAAUUUCUAUUUUCCUUGUAUUUUAUUUUAUUUAGCUUGGCCCUCCCUGGCUUUUUGAUGUUUCCCACAGCCAAGUGAGAAUUUGGCCGAUAUGCUCUUUGUAGGAGAGUUCCUAGUCGGCGACGGUUGGACUAAGGAACUAGUAUAGGUAAGCACAUGUACUUUAGCCCCUACUAACGUCUUACCAUCAAUAAAGAGAGAAAUUAUUCAAUCAUCUGUGUCCCGUGAGAUCAUUUCAACUUUUUAUUCGAGUGUCCGCUCGCUCUUUGAGCUCGCUCCAUAAUUAUAUAAAACCGUGUUCUUGCUUGUUGCUAGCAUCAUAUUAAUAUCGUGUGGUUUCCAUUGUUCUUUGCAAGGUGCGCACAAGGCUGACUUGCUACCUUUCAAAGGCUAGCGAGUGCCGCACGGUCCUCUUUGCACCCUCGCAAAGUCGGCCCGUGACACCACGGCUCACUGAAAAUAG